CGACCCACUAAUGUUAGCUCCUGUCGCUAGCGUGCUAACAGCUAGCCGUCCUUCCUUUCCCAGCUUAACUGUGCGGACAUGCACCUUUUAAGUCUCCACCAUGCUCAGACUGCUCCGUUUACUAACCGGCGCGAAUCAAACGAUGUUGUCUCUGCUGGCGCAGCUGUUUUCGCCCCGUAAAGACAACCAACAACACCCAGCUAGAUCCUAUUUUGAUGGUUAAUCAUUGAACUUUGAACUCUACUUGCAACUGUAACGUCGUGCCCUGGUGCAUCAUGGGAGCGUGAGUUUACUUCGGCUGUUUUGCAGUGUUGCCAGAUUGGGCCGGGAAUCUGGCCCAAUUUGGCAACGUUAACCAUACUAAGUACAUACACAGUGUGGGUCUUAUUGUGAUAAAGAAAAGUGUUUUAUUUGCAAACAUUAUUAGUGAUGACUAUAAGCGUAACGGAGAUAACGCUUCCAAAAUGUGAACAUACAUUCCACUCACUCAAAUAGGGGAAGCUCAUUUUCGGCCUGCCGUCCGUAUGGGCAGGCGGGGCAGCGAACUCCCUGCGAAAGCAUGCUCCCAAAAAAAUAGUUCCUCAGUACAUCAUUGCUCCAAGUUUAUUUUUAAUAAUGUGAUUGUCACAUUAACUAUCUAUAGUUUCUGUAGGCUUUCCAACUAUUUUUGGUCUGUUGAAUUUUGGAUGAUGGUGGUGGCGAUUCUAGAAAAAAGGCGUUCGGACAUUCGGAUGGAAUUGUUAAGGAGAGAGAAGAAACGGUCAAACCGCUCCCUUGACUCCACUUCUGUGAUCUGCCUGCCGCUGGUAAAGGAUGUCCUCCCUCACCAGAAGCAGGAAGGGAUCCUCCCUCCCUCUUCUCCCUGCUCCCGCCACUGCUUCACCUGCUCCAACUGCCCCUGCUGCAACUGCCCCUGUUGCGCCCGCUGCUCCUGCCCCUGCUGCGCCCUCUGCAACUGCCCCUGUUGCGCCCGCUGCUCCUGCCCCUUCUGCGCCCGCUGCAACUGCCCCUGCUGCUGCGUUUGCUCCUGCUGUGGCUGUGGCUGUGCUGGCUCCUGCGCCUUACCCCACUCCUCUCACCUCCACCUCAUCCUCCUCCUCCACUCUGACCCUAACCUGGCCUGGUUGGGAGGGAGCCCACUACCACUGGCGGUGACGGUAACGGCUGCUGACCUGCCAAUUAGCUCAUCCAUCAAGCCAAACCAGCGCUAUGUCCCUGCUGUUGGACUGCCAUCCUCUGUGCCUUGACCUGAGGCAGGGCACUUACAAUCCUGACAAUAAAAAUAUAAUAAACAACUAGGCUACUAGCAAUCUAAUAUUUCCCUGUUGUACCUACCUUUGGCACAACAAGAAGGCAGUUGUCAAAAAAAUAUUGCUGUCAUCUUGCUCUUCACCUUAUAUUUACUUUUACGGUUAUCCCACUUUUUUUUGGCCUGCACUGGGGACAGCCGUCCUGUUAACUCCAUUUGUUCAAUCAAAGUGCUACACACACACACACACACACACACACACACACACACACACACACACACACACACACACACACACACACACACACACACACACACACACACACACACACACAUAUUAUUGUCUCACUCAUUGUUAAAUUAAAAAAGUACUAUUUCAUUCAUCCAAGCGUAAUGAUUUGUUAUUCUUUAAUAUAUUUGAUACUUUGUGUAUGGCUUAGUCUUAAAAGCAUCAUGGUUGUGUGUUCAGCUCCUGCCUCAUCAGAAGAAGUUGCCUGGAAACUAAAGGCUAAAUGGACUGUUGCUACUCUGCUUUCUCAAUCGCUCUCUGACCACGGGUAAGUCGUGAAUCAGAAUUACAAGCAAAAUCAAGGAAAUCCAAUGGUCAAGUUGCACAAAAAAUAACAUCUUGUAUCGUCUUUGAUUUCAGAACAGAUGUAGUAAGGUUAAAGUUAAGGUUAAGCCACUAAAGUCAGUAGCCUAGUGCUACCCAUGCUAACAUGAACGUGAAGCUUUCCCUCAGACUUAAAAACGUAUCUAAGUAGCUUUCAGUUGUCACCCUACCACUCCAAAUGUAAAACUGACAUUCACAAAUAUGCAACAAUAUUCAGAAAAGUACUUGGGAAUGUUUUUUAAUUUAUAUUUACCAUUCAAUAUUGCAAUCGCUGCUGUCAGUCCCAUAAAAGAUCAUGACAGCGCGGCGUGUUUUGGAACUAUACAGACUCACAUGAAUCAUGACCACCCUGCCGGCGAGAUCAGAGUGUCGCAACUCUUCUCUCUCUAUGGCUCUGAUUGAAACGUAUCCCAGAUAUGUUCAAUGUCAACAUAUAACACAUUGUCAUUAAGGCAUAUUUCCCUUUCGGGGAAAGUUUCAUUUAACGUAUUUUGUCUGAAAAACGUAUUUUGUCCAUGAUUACGUUUUAUUGAACAUAUCGCCAAUACGUUAGUUCUCAGCCUUUUUUAUCCAUUUAUUUACCUCUAGGAUUAUUUUUAGUUGAAACGUAUCCCAGAUAUGUUAAACGUCAACAUAUAAUGUUACGCCCCUGUAAGGGGGGUAUAGAAAGAACCACGAGGACGCAGUGUUGUAGUCAAAGUCCAAAGUUGUAAUGAUGUUCACAAUAUUCAACAAAGUGCAUUUCUUAUGCAAUUUCAAAUAUUAGAUAUACCUAUUUUUUUUUUCACAAUAUGCAAAACUAAACAACUUUCAAAAGAACAUGUAAAUAAGCAGCAUAUUAGCUCAAAGGAACAAAGUGUGCAAAGUGUGCUUUGUUUGAGUACUAAGUACUACAUUUUAAAGCUUUUCACCAUGAGACAUUUUUCCAUAGCUAUUAACAAAAAAAAAAAAGAUAAACCUCUCAAAAGUAUUUUUAAACUUUAACACAUUUUUCAAUAAAGUAUUGUUUCAGCUAAAACACACUGACAAUACUGUCUAACAACACUUAACCGAAUACUGUGCCAGCUUAUUCACACAUUGGCAUAUAUUUUACACGGUAAAUUAACACAGCGCCAACACGCAUUGUCAGGAAAUUGCGGAAACUUUCUAACCACGCACCUGCCCGUGUGAUGCUAAGAUGCACGCUACAGCAGAGCGACUCCUCCGUGUUCAAGCCAACUACUUUUUCAAACAAUCCAUGCAUGGCUAUAAUCUUCUCGGCAUGUUCCCUAGCAUUAAAACGUUAAUACAUAAACAAUUACACAACCACCUGUAAGGAUAUCCCGCAACACAGUAUUAUGUUCCUAAGAGGCCACCGUAGCUGGAGACUGUGACGUAACAAAAUGCUUAAUGAAGUUAGUUGAAUACUUACCCGCUAAGAUGUCAGUCGCAUAUCAUUACAUGGUACCAGGUGUAAAAGUAUUAAAUAGUUAAUGUCUGUGUGAGAAAGACGGAAUGGAUGUCAUAAAACCACCAGAACCAUUGAAGCUCACGGGAAAUAUUGAUUAUGCUUGGAAACAGUUUAAACAGGCGUUUCAACUUUAUUUGACUGCAACUGGCGUCAACGACAAGAGCGGUGAGAGGCAAGUAGCAUUGUUACUUACGAUAGCAGGGACACAAGCGAUUCAGAUAUUCAAUUCUGGAAGUUUGAUGCAUACUGUAGUCCGAAGAAGAAUGAAGUAUACGAGAGACAUGUUUUUCGUUGCCGCGUACAGCAGCAAGAUGAAUCGUUUGACUCGUAUGUGACUGAGCUAAGGCUGAAAGUAAAAUCCUGUAACUAUGGCGACAUGCAGUCCUCCAUGCUACGCGAUCAGAUAGUCUUUGGAAUACACAAUAAAAAGGUGCGGGAACACCUGCUAAGGGAGGACAGUCUGACGUUAGAAGAUGCAAUCAGAAUGUGCAGAGCUAGCGAACGGACUGAGAAGCAGAUGAAGAUUUUUGAGAAGCCAUAUGUUGCUACUGAAGCACCAGUGGGUGUAGACAGGGUGGUCAGAGCUCGCGCACCUCGCUCAGAGGGGGAACGUUCGAGUAAUGCACGUGAAGCAGGAUCAGACUACGUCAUGAACUGUAGGCGCUGCGGUGGGAACAUCGCUUCAGGCAAUGCCCCGCAUAUGGGAAAGUUUGCUUGAAGUGCAGGGGAAAAAAACAUUUUGCAAAAGUGUACCUAUCUGCUAGUGAAAAGAAACAAAUUAAUAUGAUGGAAGAGAGUGAAGGCUAUGAUGAGGAUGACAUAUUCUAUACUGACAUAGGGCUCGAUUAAUUCGAGUGUGUAGCUCACGUCGACUUUAGUUCCCGUAGUUCGGAAUGGGCUCAGCCCUCCCCCCGCACAGAGCGCGCAUUUACCAAAGUGAUACACAAACAUGGCAGCGAGUGUGACAAGUUGUAUACAACAAUUUAUUCAUAUAUGUAUAAUCUAUUUUGAGGUAAACAUAAUUCAUUUGAAAUAUAUCUGUGUGGUUUAAUAAUUCGUCGAUCUGUUGGUAAUUCGUCGAUCUGUUGGUAAUGCCUCGGGGCUCCAGUAGGGGGUUUGUGCUCCUCUUCCUCAUUCAAUACAGGGCCCCGUUUCCUGAUAUCGAUGGAUCUUCGCUCGUAAGAUGGUUCGAAAGGUGGAUCUUUCGAACCAUCGAUAAUUUCUUUGGAGCGUUUCCCGAAACUCCUCUUAACGUGAACGCGCAUUCGCUGCACUCACGACGAUCAUAGGAUUGUACCUGUCCACUGACUUCUGGUGCUGAAACGGGCUAUGACGCAGGGGGAGACGCAGGAAUGUCGGAGGAAAAUGGGGUUAAAAAGGGUUAAAAUAUCUCCCCAUCAAGGCCAACCGCAGAGUAGCCUACGAAAAGAAUAGAUUGCAAUAAUAUGAAUGCUAAAGAUAUUAAAACACAAUUGAUUAAGCCUAGGCCGACAUAUAUAUCAGUCUUAAUCCUGAGCGCACGAUCGGGAGGUGGAAGUUGCGCUUUAGAUGCCUUCACAAGUCCAGCGGAGGGCUCCAGUUUUCGCCGGCCAAGUCAUGCGCUGUGAUAUGUGUGACAGCUAUGUUGCACAAAAUUGCAGCUAAGGCUGGGGUAGCUUUGGUUGAACCGGAGAAAAUUGAGGACGAUGACGACGAGGAAGAUCGGUGUGAGGACGGCCUCCCUCAUAACUACGCGGAUGGUUUUCAUGCACGUCGAAGAGUGAUUGAGACUUUUUUUAACCCCCUCCACCCUCCCACAUGUCACUAAACAUUCCCGUCAACGUGACCAAUCCCCACCAUAUCCCAGCCUUUUGCCUGCUCCUUUGCAUUUUUUUAAAUAUUUUUAUAAUUAAUAUUUUUAUUAUUUUUUUUAUAAUUUUAUUUUUUAUUUUUUUUUACAUUAUUUUAUGCUACGUUUUAUGAGUAGCCUAUGUCAGUCUGCACAAAUCCCCCCCACUUUCUCACACAUUUUAAGUGCCCUGCCUGCUCAAACAUUUCCUGGACUGUCUCUCUCAAACUAAGAACAUAAUGGCCCACAUUAGGCUCAGAUGCACGUGAUACACCAUUACCAAUGUGUUAUAAUAAAACGCAUCCAAUGUCCGCUGGUUACGCCACUGAGGCUAUAGUAGGCUAACGAGGCUCUUAGCGUCCUACGAGUACCCUGGAGCACUCGUUAGCUACUCGUGACUCGUGAGCGUUUUCUUUCGGGAAACGGUGUGAAAACUGUACGAUGCUCGUACGACCCACUCUGCGAUCCACUUAGGCUAAAGAUGCUUUCGGGAAACGGGGCCCAGAUGAGUGAAGGAAAGAGCUGCGUGUGUGUUUUUCCUCAUUCUUCUCCCGUUACUAUUCCCUUUUUUAAGGUAAUUACCGUUUGCAAAACACUGUAUAUUUAUGACCAGUGUUGAAAGUUUGAAUGUUAUGUUGGCACUUUAUCAGAAGUCCUCUUAUCAUUAGUAAUAUUUGAUGUUUACAGAAAUAUUUUAUUUUAUAUUUCAUAUAUUUUACAUUUUAUGUUAUGUUACAGGUUACACUGUUUACAAUGGCAGCGCCUGCCAUAAUGCUUUUUUAUGCAUAUCGAUUUAAAUUGGAUAUCGGAUUUUUUGGAAAAAAUCUGGGAUUUUUAUUUUAGGCCAUAUCGCCCAGCCCUAUACUGACACUGUCACUGUGGAAAAUGAGGCCACUUCAACGUUGGAAGUUAGUGUGAACACAAUAAAUGCAGACAAGUGGAUUGUGCCACUUACAGUGAAUGGCACAGAGAUUCACAUGAAACUUGACACAGGAGCUAUGGCAAAUCUUAUCACAUUGAAAGACUUCAAAGCUCUGCACCACAAGCCGGUCAUAAAAAACACAAAAGUGGGAUUGAGAGCUUACAAUGGACAAAUGAUUGAAAC
Molecule: long non-coding RNA, 6245 nt
Filed under: Gadus morhua (Atlantic cod)
Lineage: Eukaryota; Metazoa; Chordata; Actinopteri; Gadiformes; Gadidae
Description: lncRNA (ENSGMOG00000036195.1)
Source: RNAcentral